GGAGGAGUGACUGAGUGGUUUAAAGUGGUUGUUUGCUAAACAAUAAUAUUAUAAAACAUAAUAUCGGAGGUUCAAAUCCUUCUUCCUCUA
This 90-nucleotide transfer RNA is filed under the name PVC group bacterium (ex Bugula neritina AB1). RNAcentral's name for it is "tRNA-Ser". It matches the Rfam family "tRNA". From Rfam's summary of the family: Transfer RNA (tRNA) molecules are approximately 80 nucleotides in length. Lineage: Bacteria; Pseudomonadati. The record is from RNAcentral.